CCCUUGGGGAUUUUCCGCAAUGGGCGAAAGCCUGACGGAGCAACGCCGCGUGAGGGAUGAAGGCCUCUGGGCUGUAAACCUCUUUUCUCAAGGAAGAAGAUCUGACGGUACUUGAGGAAUAAGCCACGGCUAAUUCCGUGCCAGCAGCCGCGGUAAUACGGGAGUGGCAAGCGUUAUCCGGAAUUAUUGGGCGUAAAGCGUCCGCAGGCGGUUCUGUAAGUCUGCCGUUAAAGCGUGGAGCUUAGCUCCAUUUCGGCGGUGGAAACUGCAGGACUUGAGUGUGGUAGGGGCAGAGGGAAUUCCCGGUGUAGCGGUGAAAUGCGUAGAUAUCGGGAAGAACACCAGUGGCGAAGGCGCUCUGCUGGGCCAUAACUGACGCUCAUGGACGAAAGCCAGGGGAGCGAAAGGGAUUAGAUACCCCUGUAGUC
Molecule: ribosomal RNA, 428 nt
Filed under: uncultured cyanobacterium
Lineage: Bacteria; Bacillati; Cyanobacteriota
Description: bacterial SSU rRNA
Rfam family: Bacterial small subunit ribosomal RNA
Source: RNAcentral